RNAcentral lists this transfer RNA (83 nucleotides) under Candidatus Roizmanbacteria bacterium RIFCSPHIGHO2_02_FULL_43_11. RNAcentral describes it as "tRNA-Leu". It matches the Rfam family "tRNA". Rfam says of the family: Transfer RNA (tRNA) molecules are approximately 80 nucleotides in length. Their secondary structure includes four short double-helical elements and three loops (D, anti-codon, and T loops). Lineage: Bacteria; Candidatus Roizmaniibacteriota. RNAcentral also lists the same sequence under 2 other names. The record is from RNAcentral.
GCCGGGGUGCUGAAAUGGUAGACAGGCCGGUCUCAAAAACCGGUGGCCGCAAAGCCAUGAGGGUUCGACUCCCUCCCCCGGCA